Molecule: ribosomal RNA, 1411 nt
Filed under: Klebsiella pneumoniae
Lineage: Bacteria; Pseudomonadati; Pseudomonadota; Gammaproteobacteria; Enterobacterales; Enterobacteriaceae
Description: bacterial SSU rRNA
Rfam family: Bacterial small subunit ribosomal RNA
Source: RNAcentral
UGCAAGUCGAGCGGUAGCACAGAAGAGCUUGCUCUCGGGUGACGAGCGGCGGACGGGUGAGUAAUGUCUGGGAAACUGCCUGAUGGAGGGGGAUAACUACUGGAAACGGUAGCUAAUACCGCAUAACGUCGCAAGACCAAAGUGGGGGACCUUCGGGCCUCAUGCCAUCAGAUGUGCCCAGAUGGGAUUAGCUAGUAGGUGGGGUAACGGCUCACCUAGGCGACGAUCCCUAGCUGGUCUGAGAGGAUGACCAGCCACACUGGAACUGAGACACGGUCCAGACUCCUACGGGAGGCAGCAGUGGGGAAUAUUGCACAAUGGGCGCAAGCCUGAUGCAGCCAUGCCGCGUGUGUGAAGAAGGCCUUCGGGUUGUAAAGCACUUUCAGCGGGGAGGAAGGCGAUAAGGUUAAUAACCUUGUCGAUUGACGUUACCCGCAGAAGAAGCACCGGCUAACUCCGUGCCAGCAGCCGCGGUAAUACGGAGGGUGCAAGCGUUAAUCGGAAUUACUGGGCGUAAAGCGCACGCAGGCGGUCUGUCAAGUCGGAUGUGAAAUCCCCGGGCUCAACCUGGGAACUGCAUUCGAAACUGGCAGGCUAGAGUCUUGUAGAGGGGGGUAGAAUUCCCAGGUGUAGCGGUGAAAUGCGUAGAGAUCUGGAGGAAUACCGGUGGCGAAGGCGGCCCCCUGGACAAAGACUGACGCUCAGGUGCGAAAGCGUGGGGAGCAAACAGGAUUAGAUACCCUGGUAGUCCACGCCGUAAACGAUGUCGAUUUGGAGGUUGUGCCCUUGAGGCGUGGCUUCCGGAGCUAACGCGUUAAAUCGACCGCCUGGGGAGUACGGCCGCAAGGUUAAAACUCAAAUGAAUUGACGGGGGCCCGCACAAGCGGUGGAGCAUGUGGUUUAAUUCGAUGCAACGCGAAGAACCUUACCUGGUCUUGACAUCCACAGAACUUUCCAGAGAUGGAUUGGUGCCUUCGGGAACUGUGAGACAGGUGCUGCAUGGCUGUCGUCAGCUCGUGUUGUGAAAUGUUGGGUUAAGUCCCGCAACGAGCGCAACCCUUAUCCUUUGUUGCCAGCGGUUAGGCCGGGAACUCAAAGGAGACUGCCAGUGAUAAACUGGAGGAAGGUGGGGAUGACGUCAAGUCAUCAUGGCCCUUACGACCAGGGCUACACACGUGCUACAAUGGCAUAUACAAAGAGAAGCGACCUCGCGAGAGCAAGCGGACCUCAUAAAGUAUGUCGUAGUCCGGAUUGGAGUCUGCAACUCGACUCCAUGAAGUCGGAAUCGCUAGUAAUCGUAGAUCAGAAUGCUACGGUGAAUACGUUCCCGGGCCUUGUACACACCGCCCGUCACACCAUGGGAGUGGGUUGCAAAAGAAGUAGGUAGCUUAACCUUCGGGAGGGCGCUACC